Molecule: ribosomal RNA, 379 nt
Filed under: uncultured eukaryote
Lineage: Eukaryota
Description: partial 18S ribosomal RNA
Rfam family: Eukaryotic small subunit ribosomal RNA
Source: RNAcentral
CAAUAGCGUAUAUUAAAGUUGUUGCAGUUAAAAAGCUCGUAGUUGGAUUUCUGGCCAUCGCGACCGGUCCGCGUCUUUUGGGCGUGUGUACUUGAGCGCUUUGGCCAUUCUCGUGGGGAACCGUCUGGGGUGAGAGCCUCGGGCGAGGAUCCGCGUCAUUUACUGUGAAAAAAUUAGAGUGUUUAAAGCAGGCAUUUGCUUGAAUACAUUAGCAUGGAAUAAUAAGAUAGGACUUUGGCCUAUUUUGUUGGUUUGCAAGCCGAAGUAAUGAUUAAUAGGGAUAGUUGGGGGUAUUCGUAUUUCAUUGUCAGAGGUGAAAUUCUUGGAUUCAUGAAAGACGAACAACUGCGAAAGCAUUUACCAAGGAUGUUUUCAUUAA